RNAcentral lists this ribosomal RNA (397 nucleotides) under uncultured bacterium. RNAcentral's name for it is "partial 16S ribosomal RNA". It matches the Rfam family "Bacterial small subunit ribosomal RNA", at positions 523 to 918 of the family's 1533-position model. The record is from RNAcentral.
AUACGUAGGGGGCGAGCGUUGUCCGGAAUGAUUGGGCGUAAAGGGCGCGUAGGCGGCCUGUUAAGUCUGGAGUGAAAGUCCUGUUUUCAAGAUGGGAAUUGCUUUGGAUACUGCCGCGCUUGAGUGCAGGAGAGGUUAUCGGAAUUCCCGGUGUAGCGGCGAAAUGCGUAGAGAUCGGGAGGAACACCAGUGGCGAAGGCGGGUAACUGGACUGCAACUGACGCUGAGGCGCGAAAGUGUGGGGAGCAAACAGGAUUAGAUACCCUGGUAGUCCACACUGUAAACGAUGAAUGCUAGGUGUAAGAGGUAUCGACCCCUUUUGUGCCGGAGUCAACACAAUAAGCAUUCCGCCUGGGGAGUACGGCCGCAAGGUUGAAACUCAAAGGAAUUGACGGGG